GACGAACGCUGGCGGCGUGCUUAACACAUGCAAGUCGAACGGAAAGGCCCUGCUUUUGUGGGGUGCUCGAGUGGCGAACGGGUGAGUAACACGUGAGUAACCUGCCCUUGACUUUGGGAUAACUUCAGGAAACUGGGGCUAAUACCGGAUAGGAGCUCCUGCUGCAUGGUGGGGGUUGGAAAGUUUCGGCGGUUGGGGAUGGACUCGCGGCUUAUCAGCUUGUUGGUGGGGUAGUGGCUUACCAAGGCUUUGACGGGUAGCCGGCCUGUGCGGGUGGCCGGCCACAUUGGGACUGAGAUACGGACCAGAGUCCUACGGGAGGCAGCAGUGGGGAAUAUUGCACAAUGGGCGGAAGCCUGAUGCAGCAACGCCGCGUGCGGGAUGACGGCCUUCGGGUUGUAAACCGCUUUCGCCUGUGACGAAGCGUGAGUGACGGUAAUGGGUAAAGAAGCACCGGCUAACUACGUG
This 468-nucleotide ribosomal RNA is filed under the name uncultured bacterium. Its description in RNAcentral is "partial 16S ribosomal RNA". It matches the Rfam family "Bacterial small subunit ribosomal RNA", at positions 28 to 507 of the family's 1533-position model. The record is from RNAcentral.